ACCUAAGUAGUGCCAUGGCACAGGAGCGAUUGAGUGGAUUGGCCAUACUCUCCAUCGAGAAUGAAAGAGCAAGAAAAUUGGAUUUCGCUGAACAGAAGGCACGCAGAGUUAACUUCUGAACGGGGUCUGUCUGGAUGAAAGAGGCCUACAGGAGUUUAACGGCAAGAGAAGAUGAUCUCAUAAUAUGGAUUCAAUCAGAUUCUGCAAGAAAAGGAAACGGAUUCCCAGAGUUGCCAGUGAGGAUGUCUGUUUCUGCUGGGAGCCUACAGGGGAUGAACACAGUAAUACAUCAUGAAGGCUCA
RNAcentral lists this long non-coding RNA (302 nucleotides) under Gadus morhua (Atlantic cod). Its description in RNAcentral is "lncRNA (ENSGMOG00000030963.1)". Lineage: Eukaryota; Metazoa; Chordata; Actinopteri; Gadiformes; Gadidae. The record is from RNAcentral.